GAGAGUGAAGCAGCAGCCUGCAGCUGUGUAAAAGAAAAAGAGAGGGGUUAAGGGAGAGAGCAGACAAAGAGACAGAUUGCAGGAAAAAACAGAAUUUCAGUUCCCUUCUACCUCUGCCACUCAUGAACCACAAGCUUUUGGUGUUUUCCUGUGUUGCAUGCUCUCAUACAGCCUUAGCGUCUUUCUAUCUCUUAGACGCGUCUAUGACUUUUUACUUCAAGGCCUAAAGCAGCUGUG
Long non-coding RNA from Nanorana parkeri, 237 nucleotides. RefSeq lists it as uncharacterized. The transcript has 3 exons. The record is from RefSeq and is a predicted model, not a curated record. NCBI's taxonomy places the organism in Eukaryota, Metazoa, Chordata, Amphibia, Anura, Dicroglossidae.